RNAcentral lists this ribosomal RNA (301 nucleotides) under uncultured bacterium. RNAcentral describes it as "partial 16S ribosomal RNA". It matches the Rfam family "Bacterial small subunit ribosomal RNA", at positions 509 to 807 of the family's 1533-position model. The record is from RNAcentral.
CAGUCGCCGCGGGAAAACGUAGGUGGCAAGCGUUGUCCGGAAUUAUUGGGCGUAAAGGGCUCGCAGGCGGUUUCUUAAGUCUGAUGUGAAAGCCCCCGGCUCAACCGGGGAGGGUCAUUGGAAACUGGGAAACUUGAGUGCAGAAGAGGAGAGUGGAAUUCCACGUGUAGCGGUGAAAUGCGUAGAGAUGUGGAGGAACACCAGUGGCGAACGCGACUCUCUGGUCUGUAACUGACGCUGAGGAGCGAAAGCGUGGGGAGCGAACAGGAUUAGAUACCCCGGUAGUCCCUGUCUCUUAUAC